This 588-nucleotide ribosomal RNA is filed under the name uncultured Syntrophorhabdus sp. Its description in RNAcentral is "bacterial SSU rRNA". It matches the Rfam family "Bacterial small subunit ribosomal RNA", at positions 65 to 630 of the family's 1533-position model. Lineage: Bacteria; Pseudomonadati; Thermodesulfobacteriota; Syntrophorhabdia; Syntrophorhabdales; Syntrophorhabdaceae. The record is from RNAcentral.
AGCGCGAAAGUCCCUUCGGCGGCGAGUAGAGCGGCGGACGGGUGAGUAUACAUAGGUAAUCUACCUUCGAGCUUGGGAUAACCCCGCGAAAGUGGGGCUAAUACCGGAUAGGACCACGUAACCAUGUUGCGGGGUAAAAGGUGGCUUAUUUUUUAAAUGAGCUAUCACUUGAGGAUGAGCCUGUGGCCUAUCAGCUUGUUGGCGGGGUAAAAGCCCACCAAGGCUAUGACGGGUAGCUGGUCUGAGAGGACGACCAGCCACACUGGGACUGAGACACGGCCCAGACUCCUACGGGAGGCAGCAGUGGGGAAUAUUGGGCAAUGGGCGAAAGCCUGACCCAGCGACGCCGCGUGGGCGAUGAAGGCCUUCGGGUUGUAAAGCCCUGUCAUGCGGAAAGAACGACCCUGUGACGCAUACUCACAGGGAGUGACGGUACCGCAGGAGGAAGCACCGGCUAACUCCGUGCCAGCAGCCGCGGUAAUACGGAGGGUGCAAGCGUUGUUCGGAAUUAUUGGGCGUAAAGGGCGCGUAGGCGGUAAUGUAAGUCAGAUGUGAAAUACUUCGGCUCAACUGAAGAACUGCAUCUGA